UAAAUGGGCUUCUACAUGACUUUUAAAGGU
RNAcentral lists this non-coding RNA (30 nucleotides) under Rattus norvegicus (Norway rat). Lineage: Eukaryota; Metazoa; Chordata; Mammalia; Rodentia; Muridae. The record is from RNAcentral.